CACGCCGUAAACGAUGUCAACUGGGUGUCGGUAGUUUUACACUAGCGGUGCCGAAGCUAACGCGUUAAGUUGACCGCCUGGGGACUACGGCCGCAAGGCUAAAACUCAAAGGAAUUGACGGGGGCCCGCACAAGCAGCGGAGCGUGUGGUUUAAUUCGAUGCGACACGAAGAACCUUACCCGGGUUUGACAUGCAUGUAGUAGUGAAGCGAAAGCGGAACGAGCCUUCGGGCAGCAUGCGCAGGUGU
RNAcentral lists this ribosomal RNA (247 nucleotides) under uncultured bacterium. Its description in RNAcentral is "partial 16S ribosomal RNA". It matches the Rfam family "Bacterial small subunit ribosomal RNA", at positions 796 to 1041 of the family's 1533-position model. The record is from RNAcentral.